CACACACACACACACACACACACACAAGCACGAACGCACGCACACGCACACACGCACACCAGUCCCAUACUCUUCUGAGUCUUGUGCUUAUGAGGUCCCGAGGGGCAGGAGGACCCUUACCAGAAGGGGAUGGAGACUCAUCGCAGCCCUCGUUUGGAGGACCCGGUCCUUGUCCAGAUGCCAUUUUUCAGGUCUUGGUGGAGAGCACCUUCACUCGUCACCUGCAGAGACGGGCGUGGUGAUGUAUGACUUUAAUCCCAGCACUCAGGAGGUAGAGGCAGGCAGAACGCUUGAGUUGGAAGCCAGCCUGGUCUACAUAGUGAGUUCCAGAGAGGCUAGCCAAGGCUAUACAGUGAAACCCUGUCUUAAGGGAAAAAAAAGGGGAGAACUCAGAGUGGCUGCCCUGGUCACCACAGGGCAGGGCACCCUGCUUCCUCAAUUGCCCAGAAGACUAUACAGUCAUCUGAGACUAAAGUUCUGCCACCUUGAGGACCUGGUGGUAUGUCUUGGGAGCAAUUUGAAUUCAGGGGAAACACAAGGACUGUUGAGGCAGCCAGGCAGAGACCAGAUAAAGUCCCAGUUGCCUGGCAUCCAGGGUCACCAGAGUUUGGGCAAGAAGGGACGCUUUCUGAUGUAUACCCAGAGGCCCUGUUUGGAUUAUGCCUCCAGCUUGGCUUUAAAGACCACUCAGAGAAACUGCAUCAAGGCCUCCCUCCUCACCGGCUUGCCCAUGGAGCUUUCUGCCCCACCCUGGGCCAGAGUUGCCCGGGAUUAGGAAGAUGGGGUUUGGCAGGCACUGGCUGCCCGUGUACCUGAAUGACUCCGCUCCAGAUGUGGGGAUGGCUCAGGUUUCUGAAGACAAAGAUCCCGAAGGCCUGCUGGCUGCUUCCAGGGCCAGGGUUUCAGGCCUGACUGGCAGGAACUGGUAUCAGUGAAUUCAUGGUUGCUGGAUGCCGCCUCGGGUCGCCUCUUGGCCCAGGAAACCUCGCGACUUUGUGACCAUAGAGGAGCUAGCAGCUCCCGGCAGUGAUCAGCUCCCUCUAGAGGACGUUCUUGAUGGCCGCCGGAUGCAGAGGCACAGGGAGGCUGCUGCUUAGAGGAAGGUCCUUGGCCUGGCCUGGAAACAACUGCUCUGCAGCCUCCCCUGCCUGCCCUGUCUCUGCCAGCCAAGGGGAAAAGCUUUCUGUUUUCUGCCUUUCCUGUCUCUGAUUCUGGGGCCUCCUCUUCCAUCUUCUCCCUCUAGUGAAAAGCAAACCACAAACAAUGACAAAAACCAGGAGGGAGCUGAGGUGGGCAGGGCAAACCUGUGGUCCCAGCAUUCAAGAAGCUGAGGCAGGAGGAUCAUGAAAUAGAGGCCAGCCUGUGCUAUAUAACACCUUGAAAGAAAAGAGAAGAAGGAGGAAGAGGAGGAAGAAGACAACGAGGAGGAAGAAGACUCAGAAUUUGUGCUGUCCUAGAUUCCUGCAAGCCGCCAGGCUUCUGGGACUAAUCUCAAAUCCAGAAUAAACAGGAGUUUAUGGAAAGACAGGA
Molecule: long non-coding RNA, 1530 nt
Organism: Grammomys surdaster
Lineage: Eukaryota; Metazoa; Chordata; Mammalia; Rodentia; Muridae
Exons: 2
Source: RefSeq, a predicted model, not a curated record